This is a long non-coding RNA of Falco peregrinus (peregrine falcon), 663 nucleotides long. RefSeq lists it as uncharacterized. The transcript has 6 exons. The record is from RefSeq and is a predicted model, not a curated record. NCBI's taxonomy places the organism in Eukaryota, Metazoa, Chordata, Aves, Falconiformes, Falconidae.
CUUCCCGGCGGGGGGCGGCCGCCUCGGCCGGUGCCUGACUCCGCGGCGGGCCCGAGGGGCUGCUCCGCCUCGCAGAAGCCUGGCGGGUUCAGUGCCUUUGGCCAGUGAGAUAAGAAGGUACCCGGGACUUGUUAAUGGCAGGGGAGGCUUCGGGUCAAUGAAGAAAGCUAAGCCCUGCAGAAGGUGAAUUGCAGACACAGGUGCCCCGAGCGCUUCUCUGUUGGUCAGUUCCAAAGGAAGGAGAGCCUUGCCCAAUUUGGUCCACAGACUGAGGCGAAACCUUAUUACUGCUUAAAAAGAUGACGUAAAAAAAGGUCUUCUUUAAAUUGGUUUCACGAUCUUCAUUGACAAAUAGUUCUGUUGGGGAAGGAGGGAAGAAGCAACAGAGCUGACAGCUGAGUGGGGGGUACCCUUUACAAUCAAUGUUUAGAAUUUGAAAUUAAGAUUUUGAGGCCUAUAAGGUUUGCAUUUGAGCUAAAGACUUGGGAGCUGUCUCAAUACAGGGCAGAGAGUCUUCUGUAGAGCAGCAUCUCUACAAAAGAAGAACAUCUUUGGUGUUCCAGACAAUCACCCGCAAGAUAUACCUAUGAGAGAAGAUGUUUGGGGAAAGAGAAUUGCAUUGCCUUUGUCAGGGCUGCCAGAUGGUGUGUAGUACAUACAGAU